This 550-nucleotide ribosomal RNA is filed under the name uncultured Actinomycetes bacterium. Its description in RNAcentral is "bacterial SSU rRNA". It matches the Rfam family "Bacterial small subunit ribosomal RNA", at positions 256 to 816 of the family's 1533-position model. Lineage: Bacteria; Bacillati; Actinomycetota; Actinomycetes. The record is from RNAcentral.
GUAACCGGCUCACCAAGGCGACGACGGGUAGCCGGCCUGAGAGGGCGACCGGCCACACUGGGACUGAGACACGGCCCAGACUCCUACGGGAGGCAGCAGUGGGGAAUAUUGCACAAUGGGCGCAAGCCUGAUGCAGCGACGCCGCGUGAGGGAUGACGGCCUUCGGGUUGUAAACCUCUUUCGGCAGGGAAGAAGCCGCAAGGUGACGGUACCUGCAGAAGAAGCCCCGGCCAACUACGUGCCAGCAGCCGCGGUAAGACGUAGGGGGCGAGCGUUGUCCGGAUUUAUUGGGCGUAAAGCGCGCGUAGGCGGCUCGGUAAGUCGGGUGUGAAAUCCCGAGGCUCAACCUCGGGUCUGCAGUCGAUACGAGCAAACUAGAGUGUUGCAGGGGAGACUGGAAUUCCUGGUGUAGCGGUGAAAUGCGCAGAUAUCAGGAAGAACACCGAUGGCGAAGGCAGGUCUCUGGGUAGUAACUGACGCUGAGGAGCGAAAGCAUGGGUAGCGAACAGGAUUAGAUACCCUGGUAGUCCAUGCCGUAAACGGUGGGCGC